This 420-nucleotide ribosomal RNA is filed under the name uncultured bacterium. RNAcentral's name for it is "bacterial SSU rRNA". It matches the Rfam family "Bacterial small subunit ribosomal RNA", at positions 355 to 774 of the family's 1533-position model. The record is from RNAcentral.
UGGGGAAUCUUGCACAAUGGGGGAAACCCUGAUGCAGCCAUGCCGCGUGGAGGAAGACACCCCUAUGGGGCGUAAACUCCUUUUCUGCGCGAAGAAACCUCUGUUGUUCAGAGUGUGACGGUACCGCAGGAAUAAGGACCGGCUAACUCCGUGCCAGCAGCCGCGGUAAUACGGAGGGUCCAAGCGUUGUCCGGAAUCACUGGGCGUAAAGGGUGUGCAGGUGGGGCAGCAAGUCAGAGAUGAAAGCCCGCGGCUUAACCGCGGAGGUGCCUUUGAAACUGUUGCUCUUGAGUCCCGGAGAGGCUGCCGGAAUUCGUGGUGUAGCGGUGAAAUGCGUAGAUAUCACGAGGAACACCAGAGGCGAAAGCGGGCAGCUGGACGGGUACUGACGCUCAGGCACGAAAGCGUGGGGAGCAAACA